Molecule: long non-coding RNA, 477 nt
Organism: Brachypodium distachyon (stiff brome)
Lineage: Eukaryota; Viridiplantae; Streptophyta; Magnoliopsida; Poales; Poaceae
Exons: 2
Source: RefSeq, a predicted model, not a curated record
GAAGAAGGGUUUGGAUCCUUGAAUGGAUCGAAUCGAUCUCUCUGGUUAACUAACCAACUAACCCGGUUGGUUUGGUUUGACUGGCUGCUGCUGAUGUCACUUCACUUCACUGCUCUACUCACCACAUUUGUCUUUUCAGGACUAAGGUGCGGCAUAGCUGCAGCAGCAAAGGCGGACAACAGUGUAGGCACAGCUAGCAGUAGGGACCAUAGUGGCGGACUGGCGGUGACCGAGCCAAGACGGAAAUGCCAGAACCUGGAGCGCUGUGGACUUCACAGGUGACAAAAUGCAUUUUCUCGCUAGUUCCUGCUAUUUAUAGCCAUUCUUGGUAGUUAUUACGGAUCUAACAAUCGGCAGCGCCUGGAUUAGUCAUCUCUCCACGAUCUGAUCGAUCGAAUUCAUCCGACGGUCCAUAUUCAAAGUUAUUCGUACACUAUAAAGUAGUAUUGGUAUAUGAACGGGAACUACUUUUGGACA